Molecule: long non-coding RNA, 13941 nt
Filed under: Nicotiana benthamiana
Lineage: Eukaryota; Viridiplantae; Streptophyta; Magnoliopsida; Solanales; Solanaceae
Description: long non-coding RNA (NBEN_LNC036217)
Source: RNAcentral
GGAUCAUCUUCCUCACCGAAACAUAGGACUACAAAAAAUCCCUAGACCUAAGACCUCCCCCAGCCGUUCCCUCUUUUUUCAUCUAGACACCCACUCUAAUUCCCCUUAACCAAUCUCCAGCCGUCAAUUCACCACCGCAACAACUAGCCGCCGCCGGAACAAUCACCCACCAGACCCCCCAUCAGCGGUCUCUCUCACAAAAACCCGUGAGCCGCCAGCCAUACCAUCACUCUUGGUCUCUCUCUCGUGGUUGUCACUGCCGACGUCGGUCGACGACCACCCCAACGACCAUCUCCCUCACUAGCAAAACCAACCCGAACCCAGCCACGAAAAUUAGAUCCAAAAACUGCCCCUAAUAAGCUGAAAACGACAAUGAAACAGCCCCCUCGAACCGACAAAAUGAGCCGCAAAAUAGCUACCUGAAGCUCGCAAAAUCGGCUACGAAAAGCCAUAGUUUUCAUCACUCUUUAACCCUCCAAAAAUAUCCAAAAUUCAGAACAUUUGACCUGAAAAAAUAGCCACUAUACCAACUGAAAAAUAGUAACAAACAACGCUGGAAAACUCCAACGUCCAGCCACACGCAACCAACUGCAAACGAGGUCGUCUGAGGUCAGGUUUGUAUGUCUUCCGUCGAGGUUUCCAUUGAGAUUCACGAGUCCAAUUCGGUUCGAGUUUUCCGCCACCUUUGCUUCGGGGUUGUGUUAUGCUUAUUCAUGAAUAAAAUUUCAAAAGAAAUUUGCUGAAAGUUCGAGGUCCACCUGGUCAAGUUUUAAGGCUCGAGCUUGCGGUUUUGGAUUUGUUGUUCGUUUGUAUUUUUGCUGAUUUUCCGUCGAGGUCCAAUGUACAUUCGAUUGAAGAUAUGUCAGUAAACAAAUUCACGAAAAAGUUUUUGCCGCUCUAAGGUCCACUCGUACCCCUUUUCUUGAAAUAUCUGAUUCUCGUUAAGUGGUAUUGAACUUUAUUGAAGAAACUUUUGCUUAGUUAUCUUAUUUUAGCUAUUAAUUGAUGCUUAGGCUUUUAGUUUAGUAUUCUGGGUUUGGGGUAAUGCUAAAUGAAAGAAGAUAUUUUGUCCAUGAAUAACUUCUUUGACUCGAUCUUGUUUAUAUAUAUAUUGUUCGCUGCUAACAUGCUUUAGGCUGACCACACUUGGGUAGGCAAGCUUAGGGUUUUUGUUAGUUUAAAGGCAAGAGGUCAUUCCCUUGGCCAUAUUUAUCCGGUAUAUGCCACGAAGGGUUUGUAUAUAUAUUUUGAACCGGGGAAUACCCGAAGUAAAUGUAAAUGGAGGUCGUGGCAUUAUAAAUGGAGGCUUAGUAUAGGCUAGCAAGACGUUUUUCAUUUUGUUUUCUUUUUCUUUUAUUAGGUGGGUACGACCUGGAGCCUCUUGUGUGUUUAUUUUAUUUAUGUGUGUUCUACCUCAAUCGAAUAUUUUGAAAGCCAACUAGAUCAAGUACGCAACCAUACUAGCUACGGGACUUGGGGAAUGCCUAACACCUUCUCCCCGAAUCUCGGGUGUAGACUUCGUUUUAGAGUCUCAAGUGUUUUAAAAGGAAAAAUAUUUUCUAAAAAAACGGUUGCCUGGCACACCGAAAUCAAAUGUCAGGUGGCGACUCUGAGUUAUUUUCCUUUUGAAAUAAUUUUUUGUCACUUUUCAAUUGAAAAACACUUUUUCAAGCUUUACUAAUCCUUUUAUUAAUUUAAGAGGGUUUAGUAGAGGUUUGAUUUUUGCUAAUUGCUUAUGUGUUUACAGUUUUUGCCUUAUGUGUUUACUGCUUUAUAACUGUCACCAUUUGCAUAACCCCGAGUCUUCCUUGUGCAACAAGUCUUCCGGAGUACGUUUGAGCGUACACAACCUCUUUGUGAGUCACUUGUAUCUUUAGGGGGUGGCAUGGGAGCGUGGAGCGGGCGGACAGCUAGAGUAGCCGCUAUCGACCAUGUGCCUUGUCUAGUGAACCCCAACCGUAAGUCAGCCUUUAGGUCAUGCUUAUUUGCAUCAUAUCAUUUAAACCUAGCAGGGUUCGGUCCCAGGAACCCUAUCGCGUUGUAGGGGGCCUAUCCAAAUUAUGUCAAAAAUGGGCUUAUGGCCCAAGAACACAUUCAAUCAUCCCAAUGUGAUACAUGAUGCAUCUUUGAGGGUAAAAAUGUCAUUUGGCAGAUCGAUAUUUGGAGAGAAAGGUGAAAAUUGAAGCUAGGAGGACCCACUCGUAUUUUUCUUUCAUAGUCUUGCAAAAAAUUAAAAAAAUCAAAAAUAGAAAAUCAAAAAAUAUUUUACACUUUUCCAUCAUUUUAAAAAAUUCAAAACUGAAAAUAAAAAAAAACAAAAAAAAAUUUAUACUUUGCCAUAUUUUUCAAAUAAAUUCAUAAUAAAUGAAAAUGAAAAAUCCGAAAAGAUUUUACACCUUUAAAUUAUUUUCCAAAAAAAUUCAAAAAAAUGAAAAUGAAGAAAAAUCCAAAAAGAUAUUGCAAUCUCCCAUUAUUUUUCAAAAAAAAUAAAAAAAAAAGGGGAAAAAAAAAGAUAAUCCCAAAAUGAUUUUGCAUUUUUUCAUUAUUUUCUAAAUAAAAAAAAUUGAAAAUAGAAAAUCGAAAAAGAUUUUAUAUUUUUCAUUAUUUUCCAAAAAUUGAAAAAAAAGGACAAAAAGAAAAUCCAAAAAGAUGUUGCAUUUUCCAUCAUUUCUUCAAAAAGACAAAAAUAGUUUUUUUUUCAAAUUAGACGCAUGUUUUAAAAUUAUAUCUUAUAUUUAAUCUUUCCAAACUACGCGAACCUGAUUCUCAUCUUUCGAGGCGAGAUACGUAGGCAACCCACAUAGGGUCCGGUCUUCCUAGUCUUAGUUUCUUGGCUUUGCGAGGUCCUAGCCAAAUUUUGCAUAUCUAGCCACUUUAGGCCACAUCGGUCAUUGUUGCGAAAUGGGAUCAUUUUCACAAAAGUUGUUCAAUUACCCAUGACUUAGGGUCCACAACUAGGUGUCAUUGUACUUUAAGGUCCUUCCUUUUCGAGUUUGCAUUUUUAGCCACAUUUGGCCAUAUAGGCCAUUUUUGCAAAAUGGGCCUUUUUUGCAGUAAUUUUUUUAAGGCCAUGAUUGUUGAGAUGUUAGAGUCAUGCAAGCUUUAACUAGAUCAUUUUUCAUUCAUUAGGAGGUCAACUUUGUCAAGUUUGCAGUAAUAGUCACUUUCAGUCACUCAAGUCAUUUUGUAAAAUAUAGUCAAAUCGUGUCUUGCAUCUAUCCAUUAGGAAAUUUUAUGGAAUCAUAGCGUCUCGAGUCACCAAUCUAUUUGGUCUUAUUUUUCUCAUUCAGGUAUGAAUUCAUUUACCACAGCUCGAGCAUAACUGAUACCCCGGGACCAUCACAUUUAGGAGCUGUUUGAAGAGACUUUUUAUUUUGAGUAUGUUUGAUAUUAUUUUUUUGCUUUCUAGUCUUGUUUGUCUGGACCACUGCAUUUAGGAGCUACUUGUGGAGUCUUUUUAUAUUUUGAGCCUAUUUUUUGAGUCUUUUGGGGGGUUUAAGAGUUUUUCUAGUCUUUCAUUAUCAUACUUCCUAUUAUGUAUUUGAAAAAAAUGUUAUAAAGAAAAAAUCCAAAAAGAUUUUUGUCUCUUAAUUUAUUUUCCAUCACCUUUCAAGAACUACGCUUGAUCUGAUUCAUGAGGUGCAUUAUACGUAGGCAACCUACAUAGGGUUUGAUCGAAAUAUUGAAAAGAAAAAAAAGAAAAAGAGAAUGAAAUUGUGGGAUUUAAGAAAAUAGUGGAAAGGAAAGAAUGGUAAUCAAAAGAAAAGGGAGGAAAGAAAAUGAAAAACCAAUGAGGGUUAAAGAGAAAAAUGAAGAGGAAAAGGGGAAAUAAGUGAACAAAAUUGGGAUGAUGCCAAAUGACCUUGUGACCUCGAAGCCAUUCUAGAACCGUUAAUUGUUUUUAGGGGUAGGAAUAAUGAAAUUGGGAUGAUGCUAUAUGACUUUCGUACCCUCGAAGCCAUUCUAGAACUGUUAAUUGUGACUAGGGGCAUUGCACGCAGUGUAGUAUUUCUAUCUGAUAAAUGCUCUAACACUAACAUGUUGGCUUUGUUUUGCUCCUUUUUGUUACUUUUAUUGUUAUCAUAAUAGAGGGUGGUUAGUUUGUGAUAUUUUGGUGAGUCAUCCGUACAACAUAAGGUCAAAUAUCAAGUGAGACAUGGCUUGCAAGGACUUGGACAUAAGAGUUUUUGACCUAUCAAGGUAGAUCGUAGAAUUAGAAUCGGAACUGAAAGAGGAGAUCAGAAGGUUGAAAAAAUAGAUGGCAGAAAUGAAUCAGUCUUGGGUCAGCAGGCACCCUCCACCUUCAUUCCCUACAAACUAUACAGAAAACCAUGCCUUCAUUCUACCACUAUCCCAGCCCAUAUUCCCAAUACCGCUGAUCUUUCCCCUCAACAUGCACCGAAAUGUACCCCUCAUCACAAUUACCCUGGCACUUCCUUCCAAACUUCUCAUGCUCAACCAGCCAAACCAACCUCAUACCUCGCUCCGACCUCGGUUCCGUUUUUGUAGCUCCUCUACUAGCUGCUCUUCCUCGAUCCUCCAGUGAGACUGUGUCCCAAGUCCUUGAUGCCCAAGGAAAGAAACCCAAGGAAGGCUUUAAGGAGUUUUGGUUAAAAUGGAACGAACAAGUUACUUGGAUCAGUCCUCCGAUUGAUAGAAAAGGUGUUGUCGAGCCCAGCCAGCCACAAAAUACAGUGAUUAUCUCUACUAAAUGCUUUCAGCCUCGACCGCGACCCCAACUCCAAACCUAUCCCCGAGCUCCACAUAAUCCAUCUCAGUAUUUUCCUCCAAACAACGUCCAGUCAUUUUUUCAAUCACUGGGUCACCCCAAAAGGCGAGCGCUAGCACCGCAAAAUCUUCACCAGCCUUCACAAAAUUUUCAAGUGCCCUAUAAUCCACAUCCAAGCUAGGGGUGUAGAGGUAAACAAAGGUUGAAAGAUGAUUUUACACUGAUAGGAGAGUCAUAUGCAAACUUGUUUUAGAAACUAAAGCAUUAUGAUUUGAUUGCACCUGUUCCUCCGAAUCAUGUGGACAAGCGUGCAAGAAGCUUUGACCCUUAUAAAAGGUGUGAAUACCAUUCCAAUGACCAGGGGCACAAUGUCGAAAGUUGUCAGUAACAUUAUGAUAAAAUUGCACCUAUCCUCCGAAUCACGUGGACAAGUGUGCAAGAAGAUUUGACCCUUAUAAAAGGUGUGAAUACCAUUCCAAUGCCCAGGCACGAUAUCGAAAGUUGUCAGGAUUUGAAAAGAGAGAUAGAAAGAAUAAUUCAGGAAGGUACAGUUGUUAUCCAGGACAGUGACACACAGAAUCCUUUACCUGCACAUGAUGAUGCACACUUUGGUGACAUGCUGACUGGAGUUAACGAUAUUGAGAUUGGUGAAGGUCCCAGCAAUUUGGAUGUGCAGUCCAGCGGCAAAGAUGCAAGCUUGCUGAUUUGAAAGACACUCCUUUCUCGGCUAUCCGAGGAGGAGUUUUGGUAUUUUAUUUUGUUGUCAUUUCUGUUGUCCAGGUUAUUCCACUGUUGUAGUCCGAAUAUUAUCUUGUGGCUCAAACUCUUCUUCUUUUUUUAGCCUAGUUUGUUUUAUUGUAGUAACUCGUCCAGUGUUAUCUAGGUUGUUCCAAGGUUGUAACCCGUUUCUAUUUUGCUUGUUUUGUUCAAACCCUGUUCGCCAUCUGUCUAUUGCAAUCUCCUAUUUUUUGCUAAUUCUAGUCCGUUUUUGUUUAGGACAAUUUUUCUUUUAUUGUUUUUCUCAUUCUGACUCUAGUAACAUGACAUGCACACAUAAUUCUCAGCCUGAUCUUGAAAGUUAGUCUAAUCAUGAAGCAGUGGCACAGUUUUGAAUAUGAUAAAAGGACGCAAUUUGAGGAGAAAAUUAAAGAUUCACACACUCUGAGAUAACCUGAAGCUUAAAUUGAGUGAAACUGAGGUAGUAAGUCUGGGAAAUCAAGAGGUUCAGAUGAGCAUAAAACAAGGAAAUGCCUCUCAAGUUGUUUGAGGUAAAUCAGUCAGUGCUGAAAUGCAUUCUUCCAUAUCGAGAUAAGGUUGCGUCGGGUAUGCUUCAAGCUGGCAAGGAUCAUUCAUUGGGACAAAAGUAUUACCCAUUGACACUUUUUUUUGUUGAUGUCAUCAAGAUACUAUGCGUCAUUUGUUUGCUUGUCUUCAAUUGCAUGCUUGUACUUGCCAUUUUCUAACUUGGUAUGACGAAGGCAUUUUAUUAUGCUACCCAAACACUUUUAUCCAUUGCUACCCAUUUUGAGCCCUAAUUUUUGUUUCAUAACCCUCUUUUGGAAUCAGAAUUAGAGUUGGGAACUAGAAAAGGAAAAGAAAAAGAAAAAAAAAGAGAAAAAGAAAAAGAAAGGAAAAAAAGGAGAAAAGAAAAAAGGAAAAAGAAAAAAAUAUAGAAAAUAAAAAGGAAAAAAAACAAACAACUUUGUCGUUUGAACUACGUUCGACCUGAUUCUUGUCACCACAAGAUACGUAGGCAAUCUUAGGGUUCGGUCGCACCAAAUAAAAUAUUGCAUAAUCCCCGAAGUUAAAAGUGGGGCAAUUUUUCUUAGAAAUCCCAUUGAAAAAAGCUUUAAAUAAAAAGAAGAAAAAAAAUUCCCCUAACCCAAAGAAACUGGGGUAGAAGUUUUAGUUGAGAGAGAUAAAGAGAGAGAGAGAGAGAGAGAGAGAGAGAGAGAGAGAGAGAGAGAGAGAAUAAUCCCCCCAAACUCCGAGAAACAGGGGCAAAAGUUUUAAUUUUGCCAAAAGGCCUGAUUCCAAAAGUUGUAAUUUCGAACCCUUUCAUCUUAAAUUAUUUUUAGCCUUCAUGCCACCCCUUCUUUCUAACCCUGUGCAAAAGCCUACAUUACGGUCCAAAGAAAGACCUUCUGACCAAUCUUUGAGGAUGCCAAAUCAAGUGUGUGGUGAGAGUAUGAUCUUCCGGCAUCAUGGGUAGCACCUUUGUUCUCAGAACAAUGAGAAAAAAAUGAUAAAAUGAGAGUUUUAUCGGUGAUAACCCUCAGGGGCACCGUAAGGCGACAAUGAGCUGAAAAAGAGCAAAAUGAGAGAGGUUUGAUGGUUAAGAAAACACUUCUGGGCACUACAAGUCGACUGAGGAUUGUGGAGCAGAUAGGACAAUUGGAGUGAUAAACCCCAGUUUCACAGCUUAGAUGCACAACGAGAGCUGAAUAUUAGACAUGCUUGAGAGAUUAAGCCACCUAAUCUAAGGGUGCAUGUCAUGGUCAUUAGAGUUGGUAUCCACAUCUAAUAAGUUUCUACUUCGUAAUUAUCUUGUUAGGUAUCAUCUCUUUCCCUUGUCUCUGAUUUUGUUCCUCUCGUUUUGUUUGAGUCCCUUCUUGAGUCUGUUUGGUCAGAAUAAGUGAGAAAUGAAGUCAAAAUUUGCUACCAGCUUUCCAAUUGCACAAAGCCGAGUCUGGCAAGCAUAUCAAAGUGGCAUAAGAUAUAAGGGAAUAAUGUGUGCAUUGAGUUGGUAAUAAUCAUCAUGCUUUGGGAUUCAUGUGAAAUGCAAGGGUAUGAUAAAUGUCAAUUCAUGAGCAAAAUGCAAAAACUAGAGGAUAUUGGGAUUGAAUGGAGCAAAGGUGUUUUCUGCGAUAAGGGUUGAAAGGAAACGGGUGGUCGAUAACAGUCAAGGUCGUCCAAGUUGAAAUCAAAGUUAUUUUGGCAAGUGUAGAAGCAUCCACCUUCAAGGUCAAGGCCACAAACUAACCACCACGUUUUCAAACUAAUAAGAUUUUAUUUGUAUGAAACAGGGGCAAAAAGUUUGUUAAUCCACAGGGACCUCCUAGGAAAAGGCAUGGUUCAUGGGCAAGAAAUUCUGUUCAGAAUCCUCCCAGAAGAGAGCAUGGCUCAGGUAAAUUCUCAGGACCCUCCUGGAUAAUGGGAUUUAAUUUAAUAGUUUCAGGACACUCCUGGGUAAUAAGAGUUAGUUUUAAAAUGCUCAAGACCCUCCUCGAUAAUGGGAUUUAGUUAUUAAAAUUCUCAGGUCCCUUCUAGAUAAUGGGAUUCAGUUUUAAAAUUCUCAAGACCCUCCUGUAUAAUGGGAUUUAGUCUUAAAAUUCUCAGGACCCUUUUAGAUAAUGGGAUCUAGUUUUCAAAAUUCUCAGGACCCUCUGGGAUAAUGGGAUUUAGUUUUCAAAAUUCUUAGGACCCUCCUGGAUCAUGGGAUUUAGGUUGUUAUAAAAUUAUCAAGACCUUCCUGGAUAAUGGGAUUUAGUUUUUAAAAUUCUAGGACACUCCUUUAUAAUGAGAUUUAAUUUUUAAAAUUUUCAGGACCCUCAUGGAUAAUGGGAUUUAGGUAUUUAAAAUUCUCAGGACCCUCCUGGACAAUGGGAUUUAGCUUUUAAAUUCUUAAGAGUUCUGUAGGUGAUAUGAUCCGAUUAACACUCACAAAUAUGCAGAUCCCAAACUGGGGCAGAAAAAGUUUCUUUUGUUUUGUCUGUUUUUUUGCAGUAUCAGGCGCCCACUUAGAUAACGAGGGAAUAAAUUUCAUGUUUUAGCAAUCAGACGCCCACCUCGAUAAUGAGGGAAUACAUUUCAAGUUUUAGAAAUCAGGCGCCCACUUGGAUAAUGAGGGAAUACAUUUCAUGUAUUAGCAAUCAGGCGCCCACUUGGAUAAUAAGGGAAUAUAUUUCAAGUGUUGCAAUCACGCGCCCACCAGGAUAACGAGGGAAUACAUUUCAAGUUUUAGCAAUCAGGCGCCCACCUGGAUAAUGAGGGAAUACAUUUCAAGUUUUUGCUAUCAGGCGCGCACCAAGAUAAUGAGGGAAUACCUUUCAAGUUUUUGCAAUCAGGCUCCCACCUGGAUAAUAAAGGAAUAUAUUUCAUGUUUUUUGCAAUCAGGCACCGACCUAGAUAACGAGGGAUACAUUUCAAGUUUUUGCAAUCAGGUGCUCACCUGGAUAACGAGGGAAUACAUUUCAUGUUUUAGCAAUCAGGCGCCCACCUGGAUAACGAGGAAAUACAUUUCAAGUGUUGCAAUCAGGUGCCCACCUGGAUAACGAGGUAAUAUAUUUUAAGUUUUAGCAAUCAGGCACCCACCUGGAAAAUGUGGGAAUACAUUUCAUGUUUUAGCAAUCAGGCGCCCACUUGGAUAACGAGGGAAUACAUUUCAUGUAUUAGCAAUCAGGCGCCCACCUGGAUAAUGAGGGAAUACAUUUCAAGUGUUCCAAUCUGGCGCCCACCUGGAUAACGAGGGAAUAUAUUUCAAGUUUUUGCAAUCAGGCGUCCACCUGGAUAACGAGGGAAUACAUUUCAAGUGUUGCAAUCAGGCGCCCACCUAGAUAAAGAGGGAAUACAUUUCAAGUUUUGCAAUCAGGCGCCCACCUGCAUAUCGAGGGAAUACAUUUCAAGUUUUUGCAAUCAGGCGCCCACCUGGAUAACUAGGGAAUAUAUUUCAAGCUUUGCAAUCAGGCGCCCACCUGGAUAACGAGGGAAUAUAUUUCAAGUUUUGGCAAUCAGGCGCUCACUAGGAGAACGAGGGAAUUAAUUUCUGAACUACUUCAACUCAUAAAUUUAAGAAGCAUCAGGAGCCCGCCUGAAGAGCAGGGUCCAUUUUUCAGUUACAUAUUGAAGAUCAAGUAGAGGUCCAAGGAUGAUUCCAAACAUGAAGUUGAUAGGAUCUUGUAUUUUUCUUUCACUCUUUCUGUAAUUUUCCCUUAUGUUUAUGAUGUAAUGGCAGGAACCACGGACUGGAACCUCGACGGCACCUUGAUCGGCUCUCAACCUCGGUACACUCCAUCAUCUCAUUCACUUCUGAACUACACGUGGCCUGAUUCCUUUAUAGCCAAGGAUAUGUAGGCGGCCCAGAUACUAGGGUUCGGUCACAUUCCCUUUUCUCUUAUGUUUAGUCUCCCCAAAUAAGGUUCAGGUCAAAAAACAUGUCUAGUCAUUUUUUGUCUAAAAAUACUUUGUAUUUCCAGUCAAAUAGGGACAAUUGUAGACACGUGAUUUUUGACCCUCCCCGAAAUUUUACCCAUUUUAGCGUAAAAUAGUUAAUUUAGGCUUAAUAUAGUUAUUUCAACCAAUUUUGACUAUGUUAUAUUAUUUUAAGAACAAAAAUUGAAACUACAAAAAUAGUUCUAUAUUUCUCUACUUAGUUCGCGUAUUAGAUAUUUUUAGGAGGAUAUAUUACUUUAAGCCUAUUAUUAUUUAAAUAUAAUCCUUGAAAAUAUCAAAAGUAGUUUUAACUUUAAUUGUUAUUUUAUUUUAAUACAAAUAAUGUAUCAAAAUUAAUGUAGAGUUCUAUACGUAUUUAAUUUGCUUUUAGGUCUAAAUUUGCACAUGUAAAAAUUGUUCUAUAUUUAUCUACUUAGUUCGCGUAUUAGAUAUUUUUAGGAGGAUAUAUUACUUUAAGCGUAUUUUUUUAGUAUAAUCCUUGAAAAUACCAAAAAUAGUUCCAACUUUAAUUGUUAGUUUUAUUAUAAUACAAAUAAUGUAUCAAAAUUAGUGUAGAGUUUUAUAGGUAUUUAAUUUUAAUUUUCAGUUCUUUUUGGCCUAAAUUUGCACAUAUUGAAGCCCAAUUUUAAAACCCACCAUCCAAAGGACCAAUUUUGAGCCCACUUCUUUUAAUACAAGAACAAGACUACAAAAAAAACACCAAGCUUAGGAUCAUCUUCCUCACCAAGACAGAGGACUACAAAAAAACCCUAGACCUAAGACUUCCCCCAGCCGUUACCUUUUCUUCAUCCAGACACCAACCCUAGUUCCCCUUAACCAAUCUCCAGCCUUCAAUUCACCACUGCAACAACUAGCCGCCGCCGGAACAACCACCCACCAGACCCCCCAUCUGUGGUCUCUCUCAUGAAAACCCGUGAGCCGCUGACUCUACCAUCACUCUUCGUCUCUCUCUCGUUGCUAUCACUGCCGACCUCUGUCGGCGACCACCCCAACGACCAUCUCCCUCACUAGAAAAACCAGCCCGAACCCUGCCACGAAAAUUAGAUCCAAAAACUGCCCCGAAUAAACUGAAAACGACAAUGAAACAACACCCUCGAACCGAAAAAUCAGCCGCAAAACAGCUACCUUAAGCUCGCAAAAUCGGCUACGAAAAGCCAUAGUUUUCAUCACUUUUUAACUCUACAAAAAUCUCCAAAAUUCAGAACCUUUAACUUGAAAAAAUAGCCACCAAACCACCUGAAAAAUAGUCACAAACAACGCUGGAAAACUCCAAAGUCCAGCCACACGAAAUCAUUUGCGAACGAGGUAGUCUGAGGUCAGGUUUGUAUGUCUUCCGUCGAGGUUAAAGUAAAGAGGUCGUUCCCUUAGUUAUAUAUAUACGGGGUAUGCCCCAAAGGGUUUGUACAUAUAUUUUGAACUGGGGAAUGCCCCGAAGUUAAAGUGAAUGGAGGCUGUGGCAUUACAAAUGGAGGCGUAGUAUAGGCUAGUAAGACUUAUUUCAUUUUGUUUUAUUUUUCUUUUAUUAGGUGGGGACGACCUCAAUCCUCUUGUGUGUUUAUUUUAUUUCUGUGUGUUCUACCUCAAUCGAAUGUUUUGAAAGCCAGCUAGAUCAAGUACGCAACCGUACUAGCUAUGAGACUUGGGGAAUGCCUAACACCUUCACCCCGAGUCAAAUGAACCUCCUUACUCGAAUCUCUUGUGUACACUUAGUUUUAAAGUCUCAAGUGUUUUAAAAGGAAAAAUAUUUUCUAAAACACACAGUGGCCUGGAUACCGAAAUCAAAUGUCAGGUGGCGACUCUGAGCUAUUUUCCUUUUGAAACAAUUUAUUGUCACCUUUCAAUUAUAAAACUCUUUUUUAAGCUUUGCUAAAAAUUUUUAUUAAUUUAAGAGGGUUUAGUAGAGGUUUGAUUUUUAAAAAAGGGGGUGUGACAUGGCUGAGUUGGGCAGUGUCUGCUUCUUCAUCGCGUUCACAUUCCCUUGUAUGUGAUCGCAUAUUGCAUUUUCACGGGGGAGUGAAUUUCCUUCUUUGUGAUCGCGAGGUUGCUUCUACCCUCGCGAUUCAUUAAUUCACCCAAUGAUUUUAAAGUACUCUAUUUCAAGGGUUUCUGCCAUUUUUGCAUCUUGGGAGCUAUGGAGCUCGAAUUGAGGCAAUUCUUGAAGGAAUUUUUACCAUAUGAAUUGGAUUAAGUGUUCCCUACUUGGUUUUGGUUAUAUUCCAUGAAUCUAUCCCUAUUUUUGGCAAUUAGUUGAUGAAUUUGGGGGUUUUGGACUAGAGUUUUAUAAUAUAAAUUUUUGAGUUUUGAAUAUCAAAUUGGAGUCGGAAUUGGGUGAAAGUAGCAUGGUUGGAAUCGUAAUCAAAUGGUAUGUUGAAAUUUGGGAGUUUUGUUGGCUUCCGGGGUGCAAGCUUGGGUAUAUUUUUUGCGGGAUAUGGGAUUUGAUUUUAGAUUCGAUCUUUAUCAUUUGUAAUAUUUCAUCUGAUACAUUUGAGUUUUUCUAAGCUAGUUUUGAGUCGUUCUAAGAUCUCUACAUGUGAGAUGGCAUUCGUGGAGAAUUGAUGGACUUGCUUGGCGUCUGGAAUUGGCUUAUUUUAGAUAGGUAACUUUUGUAAACUUAGUGUUGAGGGUAUGAAACCCCAAAUUAUAUGCUAUGUGAUUUGGUGUUUAGGUGAUGCACAUGCUAGGUAACGGGCAUGCACCCUGUGAAUGGGGACUUUGUUGUCUCCAGGGCAUUGAAUAGUGACCCUAUUUGUUGAUAUCUAUUUUUUCACCAUGUGAUAAAGUAAAUUAGUUGUACAUCAUGCUAGAUACCCUGUUUAGGCUUUAUCAUGAUAUUGUUAGGAACCAUAGUGGUCAUUGCUUGCUAUCAUCUCAUUGAUUUCAUUGAUAUUUUGUACUCACAACUCAGUCAAAUUCAUUCAUUCAUAUCUUACCUCAAUGUCAGUUGUACCUAUUGAUACACCAUAUUAUUGUUUUGGGACAGUUUGCAUGACAUUGUGAGCCCGUGGGUGAGGCUGGAGAGAUUGAUGAAUGAGUGAGGCCUAGAAUUAUGAGUGACAUUUAUGGGAUCGGGCUGCAUGCCGUAAUGGUUAUUCUGAUUUAUGAUAGCGCUUCGGUUGAAAGAGCCCUUCUAGAGUCUGUACACACCCUUAGUGAGUGCGGUUGAUUAUAUUCAGGGAAGGAUCUCCCCUUGGCAUGGAGAUUGAUCUUCACCAUGGGGCUGGAUUGGCAUUUUCCUCGGUACUGAUGAUUGAUCAACGAUGAUGUAUAUGCGUAUAUUCCAAGAUGGAUCUUCCCUGGGUUGUAUGAGCCAUAUACAGUACCGAGUGGUUGGGCAUUCAUAUAUAUACCUGAAGAUCGAUCUUCUCCAUGGAGCCGGAAUGGACUUUCCUUGAUGCUACGUGACUAGUGGUCAAUGAUGUAUAUAUUCAGGGAUGGAUCUUUCUUGGGCCGUAUGAGUCAUAUACAUUAUCGAGUGGUUGAGCAUUUAUGAGUGGAGCGUGUGAGUACAUGUUUCAUAUUUGGGAUUUGUGGCAACGACAUACAUACAUUACAUACAUGCAUAGAGAUGCAUUUUCCUCAUGUUAUACGGUAUCACACCAUUCAUGGCUUUGUACACACAUUGACAUGUGGGCGUAGAGGGGUAUUUCACACUUGCUAUCUAGAAAGAAAAUAAAAACUCUUGCUUAUUGUGAAAAGGAUUUUGGGGAAAGUUGCAGUUUUCAAACUUACUCAUAUUUUUUACAAUUUCAGUAAAGGAUUUAGAUUUUCACAAAUAUACUUAAAAAGCGAAGCUAUCUUCAGAAAACUAUGAAAAGGCUGAACAUUCUAUCUCUGAGUUACUUCUUUAUUUACUUUCUUUAAAUUUUUGUGAAUUAACAAAUUGGUUAUUUGUGUUGGACUCGACCGAUGUUACAGCUCGUCACUGCUUUCAACUUAAGUUUAGGUUUGUUACUUAUUGAGUACACAGGGUCAGUUGUAUUCAUACUACACUUCCUGCACAAUGCGUGCAGAUUUACAUGUUGACGUUGCUGUGUUCGAUG